RNAcentral lists this ribosomal RNA (253 nucleotides) under uncultured bacterium. Its description in RNAcentral is "partial 16S ribosomal RNA". It matches the Rfam family "Bacterial small subunit ribosomal RNA", at positions 524 to 776 of the family's 1533-position model. The record is from RNAcentral.
UACGGAGGGUGCAAGCGUUAUCCGGAAUUACUGGGCGUAAAGCGCACGCAGGCGGCCGCUUAAGUCUGACGUGAAAGCUCCUGGCUUAACUGGGAGAGGUCGUUGGAGACUGGGUGGCUUGAGGCGAUGAGAGGGGUGUGGAAUUCCCGGUGUAGUGGUGGAAUGCGUAGAUAUCGGGAGGAACACCAGUGGCGAAGGCGGCACCCUGGCAUCGGCCUGACGCUGAUGUGCGAAAGCGUGGGGAGCGAACGGG